GCUGGCUUGUCAUGUUUUGGAUUUUUUGUCAGAUUUUCGGAAUCCUCUGGUUUUAUCCAUUUGAAUGCCUUGCAAAAAUUUUCCCGGUGACCCCCAAAUUUCUUUUUGUAAAUCUUUUACGUGUAUAAUAAUAAGCCAUCUGUAAAAGUCUUAUAAAAUUUUAAUUACUUUUUAACAGUUUGAGAACUUCACCUUGUCAAAUACUAAAGCUAUGAAAAGUCUAGAGAGAAUAUUUUCCCGCCAAAAUUUCAAUGGCUAAUAUCUCGAAAACAAGCACGGUGACCUAUAUAUUUUU
RNAcentral lists this long non-coding RNA (295 nucleotides) under Mytilus galloprovincialis (Mediterranean mussel). Lineage: Eukaryota; Metazoa; Mollusca; Bivalvia; Mytilida; Mytilidae. The record is from RNAcentral.